UACGUAGGGCGCGAGCGUUGUCCGGAAUUAUUGGGCGUAAAGAGCUCGUAGGCGGUUCGUCGCGUCGGCUGUGAAAACCUGAGGCUCAACCUCAGGCCUGCAGUCGAUACGGGCGGACUUGAGUACUGCAGGGGGAGACUGGAAUUCCUGGUGUAGCGGUGAAAUGCGCAGAUAUCAGGAGGAACACCGAUGGCGAAGGCACUCUACUGGGCCACUACUGACACUGAGAGACGAAAAGCUAGGGGGGAGCAAAAUGGGG
This 259-nucleotide ribosomal RNA is filed under the name uncultured bacterium. RNAcentral's name for it is "partial 16S ribosomal RNA". It matches the Rfam family "Bacterial small subunit ribosomal RNA", at positions 524 to 778 of the family's 1533-position model. The record is from RNAcentral.